UUAAAGCCAAUUGAUUUAUUUAAAAGCCUAGCAGGUGCAUCUACCAUUUCAGCUGCCAGAGGUUUUCUCAGUCAACCACAAGCGAGCUGCUUCCGGACUUCGCUGUCUGGGGGAGGGGAGUGAAUUUGUGUGAAUUUGCCCUUUUCUUUUGGGCAGCAGGGCUGAUUUCUUGCUUUCAGUACUAUACAAUUAAAGCGUUUUCUUCUGGUGUUUGCCAUCGUCCUUAGACACCUCCCCCAAGGGCUGGGCCAGCCCUAGAGCAGCCAUUGACAGCAGAACUCUGCCCCUGCCUGGUUGGCUGGCUGGCUGGCUGGAUAAUCAGAAGUCUCAGUGUCUGCCUCACUCUAUCCAAACUGUGUAGCAAGCUCUGCUGUUCUGAUCUUGAGAAGACUGAGGACAAUUAUCGCCGAGAAACCGUCGGAGAUUUUACAGCAGCCUGGCUCUAGCAGCGUAAACUGUGUAAGAAGGGUCGACAGCAGCCUGGCUUCGGCCGACUCUGCCUCAUUACAUAGAGAUUGCUAAGUAAGUUUACCCUGUCCUAAACUGAAACCAACUGUCACCUAGAAAGCCCCUGAGAAACUGCACUAAGAAGCUGUAGCUACCCAAGGGCUGGUGCUGGGGGUGGUGUUUGAGCCAUGGAACCAAAUGUCUGCUCUGGACUUGUGAGAGAGGCUGGGGAAGCCUCGAGAAAGCAGGUUGGGCACAAGCCUUGCUUCUGGCCCUUGAAAAAGUGCUCACCUGCUGAAAACUGCUCUUUCUGUGGGGUAAUUCUUCCGUGGCAGGCGGCGGGCUUGGGGGGAUCGCCCUGGUUCUCUUUGUCUAGCACAGGCCAGUGCGAGCCUGGAAGCCGGUCCCCUGCCUUCAGGACCGGGAGCCAGAAACCCGAGGCUCUGGCAAAGGAGGAAGACCUGGCUGAAGCAUUGCCAAGCAGGCUCGUGCUGCAGCAGCCCCCCUGCCUCUUGGAUCCCCAGCAGGGUGCUCCACAGCAGGAAGCACAGACCUCAGAACCAGGGAGCCUAAGCCAGUGCAGUCUGCCUGCAGCCCCCAACUAGUGGAUAAGGGGCCAUGGUUUGUCAGGGCUUCUGGAAUGGGUUCCUUCUCUCCCAGGGUUCUCCUUCCCACCUGCCUGCUGCCCUUCAGCCUUUGGCCCCAGGGAGGAAUAGCAGGCGCCCUUGGGCUCCUGCUCCCUGCAAGCAAGCAUGCUUCCUUUUUCAACGCCACCGCUUUCAAAAUAAAAAUGUUCUACCAA
Long non-coding RNA from Mesocricetus auratus (golden hamster), 1249 nucleotides. RefSeq lists it as uncharacterized. The record is from RefSeq and is a predicted model, not a curated record. The transcript is spliced from 2 exons. NCBI's taxonomy places the organism in Eukaryota, Metazoa, Chordata, Mammalia, Rodentia, Cricetidae.